Molecule: ribosomal RNA, 362 nt
Filed under: Salmonella enterica subsp. enterica serovar Newport
Lineage: Bacteria; Pseudomonadati; Pseudomonadota; Gammaproteobacteria; Enterobacterales; Enterobacteriaceae
Description: bacterial LSU rRNA
Rfam family: Bacterial large subunit ribosomal RNA
Source: RNAcentral
CAGCUAAGGUCCCAAAGUCAUGGUUAAGUGGGAAACGAUGUGGGAAGGCCCAGACAGCCAGGAUGUUGGCUUAGAAGCAGCCAUCAUUUAAAGAAAGCGUAAUAGCUCACUGGUCGAGUCGGCCUGCGCGGAAGAUGUAACGGGGCUAAACCAUGCACCGAAGCUGCGGCAGCGACACUGUGUGUUGUUGGGUAGGGGAGCGUUCUGUAAGCCUGUGAAGGUGUGUCGUGAGGCAUGCUGGAGGUAUCAGAAGUGCGAAUGCUGACAUAAGUAACGAUAAAGCGGGUGAAAAGCCCGCUCGCCGGAAGACCAAGGGUUCCUGUCCAACGUUAAUCGGGGCAGGGUGAGUCGACCCCUAAGGC